This 496-nucleotide ribosomal RNA is filed under the name uncultured bacterium. RNAcentral's name for it is "bacterial SSU rRNA". It matches the Rfam family "Bacterial small subunit ribosomal RNA", at positions 21 to 507 of the family's 1533-position model. The record is from RNAcentral.
GGCUCAGGAUGAACGCUAGCUACAGGCUUAACACAUGCAAGUCGAGGGCAGCAUUAUCGAAGCUUGCUUUGAUAGAUGGCGACCGGCGCACGGGUGAGUAACGCGUAUCCAACCUUCCCCAUAGUCAGGAAUAGCCCGGCGAAAGUCGAAUUAAUGCCUGAUGUUUUCCACGGACGGCAUCUGAUGUGGAACAAAGAUUCAUCGCUAUGGGAUGGGGAUGCGUCUGAUUAGCUUGUUGGCGGGGUAACGGCCCACCAAGGCAACGAUCAGUAGGGGUUCUGAGAGGAAGGUCCCCCACACUGGAACUGAGACACGGUCCAAACUCCUACGGGAGGCAGCAGUGAGGAAUAUUGGUCAAUGGGCGGAAGCCUGAACCAGCCAAGUAGCGUGAGGGAUGACUGCCCUAUGGGUUGUAAACCUCUUUUAUAAGGGAAUAAAAUACGGGACGUGUCCUGUUUUGCAUGUACCUUAUGAAUAAGGACCGGCUAAUUCCGUG